AGGAUUAACGCUGGCGGCAUGCCUAAUACAUGCAAGUCGAACGAAAGUAGCAAUACUUUAGUGGCGAACGGGUGAGUAACACGUAUCUAACCUACCAUUUAGUGUGGAAUAACUGUUGGAAACGACAGCUAAUACCGCAUAUGUUAUUUAUUUGCAAUGAUAAAUAAUGAAAGGAGCAUUUGCUUCGCUAAUUGAUGGGGAUGCGGCGCAUUAACUAGUUGGUAAGGUAAUGGCUUACCAAGGUAACGAUGCGUAGCCGAUCUGAGAGGAUGAACGGCCACAUUGGGACUGAGACACGGCCCAAACUUCUACGGAAGGCAGCAGUAGGGAAUUUUUCACAAUGGGCGAAAGCCUGAUGGAGCAAUGCCGCGUGACUGAUGAAGGUCUUCGGAUUGUAAAGGUCUGUUGUAAGGGAAGAAGUGCUAGAAUAGGAAAUGAUUUUAGUAUCGACCAUACC
RNAcentral lists this ribosomal RNA (457 nucleotides) under Spiroplasma sp. RNAcentral describes it as "bacterial SSU rRNA". It matches the Rfam family "Bacterial small subunit ribosomal RNA", at positions 26 to 479 of the family's 1533-position model. The record is from RNAcentral. RNAcentral also lists the same sequence under 1 other name. Lineage: Bacteria; Bacillati; Mycoplasmatota; Mollicutes; Entomoplasmatales; Spiroplasmataceae.